CAGAAAAUAGUUUAUUAAAAUAUCAGUUUUGGAGACUGGGGAUAAGCUUAGCCUUUUUUCUGA
Molecule: transfer RNA, 63 nt
Filed under: Tenebrionoidea sp. 20 KM-2017
Lineage: Eukaryota; Metazoa; Arthropoda; Insecta; Coleoptera
Description: tRNA-Pro
Source: RNAcentral